GGGUUGUGAGGUUAAGCGAACAAGCGUACACGGUGGAUGCCCUGGCAGUCAGAGGCGAUGAAGGACGUGCUAAUCUGCGAAAAGCGCCGGUAAGGUGAUAUGAACCGUUAUAACCGGCGAUGUCCGAAUGGGGAAACCCGGUGCACUUCGGUGCAUCAUCGUUAGCUGAAUACAUAGGCUAACGAGGCGAACCGGGGGAACUGAAACAUCUAAGUACCCCGAGGAAAAGAAAUCAACCGAGAUUCCCCCAGUAGCGGCGAGCGAACGGGGAACAGCCCAGAGCCUGAAUCAGCUUGUGUGUCAGUGGAACGGUCUGGAAAGGCCGGCGAUACAGGGUGACAGCCCCGUACANNNNNNNNNNNNNNNNNNNNNNNNNNNNNNNNNNNNNNNNNNNNNNNNNNNNNNNNNNNNNNNNNNNNNNNNNNNNNNNNNNNNNNNNNNNNNNNNNNNNNNGGGCGUUAAGUUGCAGGGUAUAGACCCGAAACCCGGUGAUCUAGCCAUGGGCAGGUUGAAGGUUGGGUAACACUAACUGGAGGACCGAACCGACUAAUGUUGAAAAAUUAGCGGAUGACCUGUGGCUGGGGGUGAAAGGCCAAUCAAACCGGGAGAUAGCUGGUUCUCCCCGAAAGCUAUUUAGGUAGCGCCUCGUGAACUCAUCUCCGGGGGUAGAGCACUGUUUCGGCUAGGGGGCCAUCCCGGCUUACCAACCCGAUGCAAACUGCGAAUACCGGAGAAUGUUAUCACGGGAGACACACGGCGGGUGCUAACGUCCGUCGUGAAGAGGGAAACAACCCAGACCGCCAGCUAAGGUCCCAAAGUCAUGGUUAAGUGGGAAACGAUGUGGGAAGGCCCAGACAGCCAGGAUGUUGGCUUAGAAGCAGCCAUCAUUUAAAGAAAGCGUAAUAGCUCACUGGUCGAGUCGGCCUGCGCGGAAGAUGUAACGGGGCUAAACCAUGCACCGAAGCUGCGGCAGCGACACUAUGUGUUGUUGGGUAGGGGAGCGUUCUGUAAGCCUGUGAAGGUGUGCUGUGAGGCAUGCUGGAGGUAUCAGAAGUGCGAAUGCUGACAUAAGUAACGAUAAAGCGGGUGAAAAGCCCGCUCGCCGGAAGACCAAGGGUUCCUGUCCAACGUUAAUCGGGGCAGGGUGAGUCGACCCCUAAGGCGAGGCCGAAAGGCGUAGUCGAUGGGAAACAGGUUAAUAUUCCUGUACUUGGUGUUACUGCGAAGGGGGGACGGAGAAGGCUAUGUCGGCCGGGCGACGGUUGUCCCGGUUUAAGCGUGUAGGCUGACUUUCCAGGCAAAUCCGGAGAGUUAAGGCUGAGGCGUGAUGACGAGGCACCACGGUGCUGAAGUGACAAAUGCCCUGCUUCCAGGAAAAGCCUCUAAGCAUCAGGUAACAUCAAAUCGUACCCCAAACCGACACAGGUGGUCAGGUAGAGAAUACCAAGGCGCUUGAGAGAACUCGGGUGAAGGAACUAGGCAAAAUGGUGCCGUAACUUCGGGAGAAGGCACGCUGACAUGUAGGUGAAGCCCCUGCGGGUGGAGCUGAAGUCAGUCGAAGAUACCAGCUGGCUGCAACUGUUUAUUAAAAACACAGCACUGUGCAAACACGAAAGUGGACGUAUACGGUGUGACGCCUGCCCGGUGCCGGAAGGUUAAUUGAUGGGGUUAUCGCAAGAGAAGCUCCUGAUCGAAGCCCCGGUAAACGGCGGCCGUAACUAUAACGGUCCUAAGGUAGCGAAAUUCCUUGUCGGGUAAGUUCCGACCUGCACGAAUGGCGUAAUGAUGGCCAGGCUGUCUCCACCCGAGACUCAGUGAAAUUGAACUCGCUGUGAAGAUGCAGUGUACCCGCGGCAAGACGGAAAGACCCCGUGAACCUUUACUACAGCUUGACACUGAACAUUGAGCCUUGAUGUGUAGGAUAGGUGGGAGGCUUUGAAGCGUGGACGCCAGUCUGCGUGGAGCCGACCUUGAAAUACCACCCUUUAAUGUUUGAUGUUCUAACCUGGCGCCGUAAUCCGGCGUGGGGACAGUGUCUGGUGGGUAGUUUGACUGGGGCGGUCUCCUCCCAAAGUGUAACGGAGGAGCACGAAGGUCAGCUAAUCCUGGUCGGACAUCAGGAGGUUAGUGCAAUGGCAUAAGCUGGCUUGACUGCGAGAGUGACGGCUCGAGCAGGUGCGAAAGCAGGUCAUAGUGAUCCGGUGGUUCUGUAUGGAAGGGCCAUCGCUCAACGGAUAAAAGGUACUCCGGGGAUAACAGGCUGAUACCGCCCAAGAGUUCAUAUCGACGGCGGUGUUUGGCACCUCGAUGUCGGCUCAUCACAUCCUGGGGCUGAAGUAGGUCCCAAGGGUAUGGCUGUUCGCCAUUUAAAGUGGUACGCGAGCUGGGUUUAGAACGUCGUGAGACAGUUCGGUCCCUAUCUGCCGUGGGCGCUGGAGAAUUGAGGGGGGCUGCUCCCAGUACGAGAGGACCGGAGUGGACGCAUCACUGGUGUUCGGGUUGUCAUGCCAAUGGCACUGCCCGGUAGCUAAAUGCGGAAGAGAUAAGUGCUGAAAGCAUCUAAGCACGAAACUUGCCCCGAGAUGAGUUCUCCCUGAGACUGUAAGUCUCCUGAAGGAACGUUGAAGACGACGACGUUGAUAGGCCGGGUGUGUAAGCGCAGCGAUGCGUUGAGCUAACCGGUACUAAUGAACCGUGAGGCUUAACCUUACAACGCCAAAGAAGU
Molecule: ribosomal RNA, 2725 nt
Filed under: Cronobacter sakazakii
Lineage: Bacteria; Pseudomonadati; Pseudomonadota; Gammaproteobacteria; Enterobacterales; Enterobacteriaceae
Description: 23S ribosomal RNA
Rfam family: Bacterial large subunit ribosomal RNA
Source: RNAcentral